This is an RNA transcript of Pistacia vera, 1049 nucleotides long. RefSeq lists it as uncharacterized. The transcript has 6 exons. NCBI's taxonomy places the organism in Eukaryota, Viridiplantae, Streptophyta, Magnoliopsida, Sapindales, Anacardiaceae. The record is from RefSeq and is a predicted model, not a curated record.
ACGGUAAAGUAAAAACCCUACCCAAGAAACUGCUGUCUCUUCCAUUUCUCAAUUCCUGAAUAAUCUGAAACAUUAUUUUCAAGAAAUGGGUAUGGAGAAAGAUAAAGAGAAAGAUAAAGAAAAAGAGAAAGAUGAAGAACAAGAAGGCAUGUCCGUUCACUCUCCUUGCAAAGCUCCUCCUUCCUCUGCUUCUUCUCUCCCCAAGGAGCAAUCACAGGUUGAAUUGGAGCUUAGACUGUUGGAAGCUCUUGAAAUUUACCCUCCAGUCAAGCUUCGAGGCAGGUAUGCAUCGCCACUUUGUCCUUUAUGGUCUAAUGGAAUUCCUGCGAAGGAGGUAGUUGUCUUCAUGUUUGACCGCCACUUUUCCCCUGAUGAGGUUUUGCAGUUGAUGGAUCGAUUCUACAACUUAGAAAUGCUGAAACCAGAUGAUGAAGAGAUGGAAAUACUGAAUCAUGAGGAAGAUUUUAACUUGCCGCAAAGUUAUUUUGACAAGGAAGAAUAGUGACAGACAAUUUUUGGUGUACAUAUAUAUGCUGUUAGUGCAACCUAUCUUAGCUGUUGGGUUCUUAUCUUGCUCAUGGUUUUUGGCAUUCCCCCUUAUUGAUAAAAUAAAAUUAUUGAUGCAAGUAGAUAACAUCGAUGCGGGUUUGAAAACUUUUUAUUUUUAGUCUCUCUUGGUGGUUUCAAGAAUUCAGAUUACGACAUAUAGCAGCUUAUAUCAAGGGAUUCAAGUCUAGACAUUAUCAAGAUAAUGAUUCAUCUAUUCAACACUUGAGGAGUGUGAAUACUCCCUAAUUUUUCACUCAUCUUGAAAUGUAUAAAGAAGGUAAAAGAAAAGAGAGAAGGAAUACACUUUUUUUUUCUUUUGGUCUCUACUCUCUAGUAUAUGUCUUAAGAGAAUGACAGGGUAAGAGAGUGAAAAAGAUUUUUAACAUUUCUGUCAACACUUUGAAAUUCCCUGGUUGAAUAAUCCUUUGGGUAAUUCUGGUUGUGCAAGACUGCAAGUAUCUUCUAUGAUGUGUUUGAACUCUACAAAUAAAUCCAUUGAA